RNAcentral lists this ribosomal RNA (612 nucleotides) under uncultured bacterium. Its description in RNAcentral is "bacterial SSU rRNA". The stretch from base 1 to 521 matches the Rfam family "Bacterial small subunit ribosomal RNA", at positions 338 to 873 of the family's 1533-position model. The record is from RNAcentral.
CCUACGGGAGGCAGCAGUGGGGAAUCUUGCGCAAUGGGCGAAAGCCUGACGCAGCAACGCCGCGUGCGGGAUGAAGGCCUUCGGGUUGUAAACCGCUUUCAGCAGGGAAGAAAUUGACGGUACCUGCAGAAGAAGCCCCGGCCAACUACGUGCCAGCAGCCGCGGUAACACGUAGGGGGCGAGCGUUGUCCGGAUUUAUUGGGCGUAAAGAGCUCGUAGGCGGUUCACUAAGUCGGGUGUGAAACCUCCAGGCUCAACCUGGAGACGCCACCUGAUACUGGUGUGACUAGAGUCCGGUAGGGGAGUGUGGAACUCCUGGUGUAGCGGUGAAAUGCGCAGAUAUCAGGAAGAACACCAGCGGCGAAGGCGGCACUCUGGGCCGGUACUGACGCUGAGGAGCGAAAGCGUGGGUAGCAAACAGGAUUAGAUACCCUGGUAGUCCACGCCGUAAACGUUGGGCACUAGGUGUGGGUCUCAACCAACGAGAUCCGUGCCGCAGCUACGACAUAAGUACGCCCGCCGUCGGGAGGUACGGCCGCGAACGACGUAAACUACAAAGGAAAGUUAGACGGCGUGAGACGUGCCGAACGGACGACGACGAGGGGAGGUAGG